CGCAUAUUGCGCCCCUUGGUAUUCCGAGGGGCAUGCCUGUUCGAGCGUCAUUAUCACCCCUCAAGCUUAGGCUUGGUGUUGGGCUUAAGGCUGCAGCUUGGCUGUGGCCGGCCUCAAAGAUAGUGACCGCGUCCCAGAAGGAACCGGUACGAGGAGCUUUUCUAAGCAUGUACGCGGCAUGAUUCUGUCGGGCGGCGGUCUUGAUACUUAUUAUUUACAAGUGUUGACCUCGGAUCAGGUAGGAAUACCCGCUGAACUUAA
Molecule: unclassified non-coding RNA, 261 nt
Filed under: Rhinocladiella sp.
Lineage: Eukaryota; Fungi; Ascomycota; Eurotiomycetes; Chaetothyriales; Herpotrichiellaceae
Description: partial contains 5.8S ribosomal RNA, internal transcribed spacer 2, and large subunit ribosomal RNA
Source: RNAcentral